GUUCAUGUCAACAAACAGGUGGCAUACCUAGUUAUUGGUUUCAGUUAGAAGAAUCAACCUUCAUAAUCAAUAAAAUAGCUAGAUGAAUCAUUUUCAGUGAUAACACAUGGAUGGCCUUCUAUUUUCCUUUUUAAUUUGCCUAACUGAUGUUGUAGUUUGACAAGGUUUGAACCUGGACAUUCAAUUGUGCAAGGAAAACAUUGAUGAUUGUGAAAUAAUUUCCCAGAAAAUUUUCACAGAUCAAAGUCCGCUCUGAUCCAAAUUAAAAAAAAUAAAAGUUUCUUUGAG
This 288-nucleotide unclassified non-coding RNA is filed under the name Hevea brasiliensis (rubber tree). Lineage: Eukaryota; Viridiplantae; Streptophyta; Magnoliopsida; Malpighiales; Euphorbiaceae. The record is from RNAcentral.